Molecule: non-coding RNA, 111 nt
Organism: Pelobates cultripes (western spadefoot toad)
Lineage: Eukaryota; Metazoa; Chordata; Amphibia; Anura; Pelobatidae
Source: the annotation of a GenBank genome assembly
AGAGUGAGGGAAGGAAGGGGUGACUAGUGACAGAGAGAGGGAUGGGGUGACUAGUGACAGUCACCCCCUCCCUCACUCUGUCACUAGUCACCCCCUCUCUCACUCUGUCAC